CCUACGGGAGGCUGCAGUGAGGAAUAUUGGUCAAUGGGCGGAAGCCUGAACCAGCCAAGUAGCGUGCAGGAUGACGGCCCUACGGGUUGUAAACUGCUUUUAUACGGGAAUAACGCGCCUUACGUGUAGGGCUUUGCAUGUACCGUAUGAAUAAGGACCGGCUAAUUCCGUGCCAGCAGCCGCGGUAAUACGGGAGGUCCGGGCGUUAGCCGGAUGUAUUGGGGUUAAAGGGAGCGUAGGCGGCAUGUCAAGCGUGCUGUGAAAUGUCCGGGCUCAACCCGGGCCUUGCAGCGCGAACUGGCGUGCUUGAGUCCGCGGAAAGCAGGCGGAAUUCGUCGUGUAGCGGUGAAAUGCUUAGAUAUGACGAAGAACCCCGAUUGCGAAGGCAGCUUGCUGCAGCGGAACUGACGCUGAUGCUCGAAAGUGUGGGUAUCAAACAGGAUUAGAUACCCGGGUAGUC
Molecule: ribosomal RNA, 460 nt
Filed under: uncultured bacterium
Lineage: Bacteria
Description: partial 16S ribosomal RNA
Rfam family: Bacterial small subunit ribosomal RNA
Source: RNAcentral